Molecule: small nucleolar RNA, 131 nt
Filed under: Myotis davidii
Lineage: Eukaryota; Metazoa; Chordata; Mammalia; Chiroptera; Vespertilionidae
Source: RNAcentral
GGCCUCUUUUCCAUGGGCCAGCAGGGGGUUCUUUCCCCCUCAGCCAGGGCUGGAGGCCAAGAUCAACCCUUGAGGAUUAUUGUCGGGGCUGACACGAGCUGGGCAGCCUUGUUUUCCUACUUCAGACAUUU